Molecule: transfer RNA, 61 nt
Filed under: Arescus labiatus
Lineage: Eukaryota; Metazoa; Arthropoda; Insecta; Coleoptera; Chrysomelidae
Description: tRNA-Thr
Source: RNAcentral
GCUUUUAUAAUUUAAUAAAAAUAUUGAUCUUGUAAAUCAAAAAUAAAUACUUUUGAAGGCU